AGUGAACGCGGCCGUGUAAUGCUGGCGAUCUUGUAGCAGGGCUGAUUAGCGAGUUGCUGCAACACCUCCGCAUAUUUCUUUUCCUGCUCCUCACUCACCUGCUUUGUCAAAAUGAACGAGAAGGAAUCGUGAUUGGGCUGUGCACCGAGGCGGCAAGGAAGCCCUGGGUGACUCUCUUAAUAGAGGCUGCUGAGGCUCCAGGGCCCACUUUCUCAGCCUCUCCUGCUGCUCAGGAUGAAAUAUGUAAUGUAGAAGAGACGUGGUUAGUCCUAAGGUCCUGCCUUAAAUGAUAAUGUGAUGGCCAUUAUCUGGAUUCUUCUUGCAAGUUCAGUAGCUCCAAGGUGUCAGGCCAGUGUCUGGGAUUCUCUUAACCUUUUGAUUUUCCCCUGGGAGUAAGACAGUUGCUGCAGCUCAGUCAGACCAAACCUCUCUGAAUACCACCAAAAAUCCGGGUCUUGUUCUGCCACCCAGGAUGGAGUGCAAUGGUACAAUAACAGCUCACUGCAGGCUUGACCUCCUGGGCUCAAGAGGUCCCCCUACCUCAGCCUUUUCAGUAGCUCAGACCACAGAGUCACCCAGGCUGGAGUGCAGUGGCACAAUCUCAGCUCACUGUGACCUCUGCCUCCUGAGUUCAGGCGAUUCUCUUGCCUCUGCCUUCUGAGUAGCUGAGAUUACAGGCACCCUCCACCAUGCCUGGCUAAUUUUUAAAAUAAUAUUUUUAGUAGAGAUGGGGAUUUGGCAUGUUGGUUAGGCUGCUCUCGAACUCCUGACCUCAAGCAAUCUACCCGUCUCAGCCUCCCAGAGUGCUGGGAUUACAGGUGUGAGCCACCGCACCCGGCCCUUAUGUUUUAUUUAUUCAUUUAACAAGCAUUUGGUGCAUGCUGCUGAGUGCCAGGCCUGAAGCCUGCUGUGAAGAUUUCAGAAGGGCCUGCCAAGCCGUCCCUGUCCUAAACAGCUCACUACCGAGCAUGCUUAUUUUGUAAGUGUUGUGCACUGGCUUCCUUCUUCCUUAAUCAGACCAUCUGUUGGAUCUCAUGGAACUGUCUCCUAUUUCUCUUUAAAUCAAGCCACAGUAUUUAACAUGUGGGGCCAUUGGUAACUUGCCAUCUACUCCCCUGCUGGAAGCCCAGGACCCUUAGACAUAAGAGGCGCUUUCUGACAUAAUAUCUUUCUGUAAGAUAGGCAGUGAGUCAGGAACUGGAGAAUUCCCAGGAAUGGUAGAAGGUGCUGGGACUGGCAUCAGAUAGGGAAAGGACUGACCAAGACCAGGACAGAACCAGAAGCACAAGGGAAGUGAAGAGGAGAGUCAUGACCACAAUCCCAAGGUAGACUGGACUGGAGCGUACGGAGAGUCUGACAGGGUAUGGGUGCUUGGGCAUCCAAGUUCAUCACGGAGCUACCAGGAGGAAGGAGAGCCUGGGUCUCAGCAAGGAUGUGGUCAGUACACCACAACAGGGCACACCCCUCCAGCGAGUGUGGACUAUGACCUACGGCAGGCCCAAGGGUCCCAGCCCAGUGGACAUGGCUUGCUGUAGCGCCAUGCACUGCCAGUCACCCUCUACCAAGCACAGGUCACCAACGAUGAAACAGCUACAGCCUCCCCCACUUCCCCCGUACUCCCCGUGCCCCCUUCUU
Long non-coding RNA from Cebus imitator (Panamanian white-faced capuchin), 1635 nucleotides. RefSeq lists it as uncharacterized. NCBI's taxonomy places the organism in Eukaryota, Metazoa, Chordata, Mammalia, Primates, Cebidae. The record is from RefSeq and is a predicted model, not a curated record. The transcript is spliced from 4 exons.